GACGAACGCUGGCGGCGUGCUUAACACAUGCAAGUCGAACGGAAAGGCCCUGCUUUUGUGGGGUGCUCGAGUGGCGAACGGGUGAGUAACACGUGAGUAACCUGCCCUUUACUUUGGGAUAACUUCAGGAAACUGGGGCUAAUACCGGAUAGGAGCUCCUGUUGCAUGGUGGGGGUUGGAAAGUUUCGGCGGUUGGGGAUGGACUCGCGGCUUAUCAUCUUGUUGGUGGGGUGGUGGCUUACCAAGGCUUUGACGGGUAGCCGGACUGCGAGGGUGACCGGCCACAUUGGGACUGAGAUACGGCCCAGACUCCUACGGGAGGCAGAAGGGGGGAAUAUUGCACGAUGGGCGGAAGCCUGAUGCAGCAACGCCGCGUGCGGGAUGACGGCCUUCGGGUUGUAAACCGCUUUCGCCUGUGACGAAGCGUGAGUGACGGUAAUGGGUAAAGAAGCACCGGCUAACUACGUG
This 468-nucleotide ribosomal RNA is filed under the name uncultured bacterium. RNAcentral describes it as "partial 16S ribosomal RNA". It matches the Rfam family "Bacterial small subunit ribosomal RNA", at positions 28 to 507 of the family's 1533-position model. The record is from RNAcentral.